CUGGGGAUACAGCUCAGUUGGUAGAGUGGUUGCCUCACAUGCACAAGGCCCUGGGUUCAAUCUCCCCAGCACCCAAA
RNAcentral lists this transfer RNA (77 nucleotides) under Marmota monax (woodchuck). RNAcentral describes it as "tRNA.Val". Lineage: Eukaryota; Metazoa; Chordata; Mammalia; Rodentia; Sciuridae. The record is from RNAcentral.